Long non-coding RNA from Alexandromys fortis (reed vole), 1319 nucleotides. RefSeq lists it as uncharacterized. NCBI's taxonomy places the organism in Eukaryota, Metazoa, Chordata, Mammalia, Rodentia, Cricetidae. The record is from RefSeq and is a predicted model, not a curated record. The transcript has 3 exons.
GAUUCCUGGAGGCAGGAUUUCCAUUUCCAACUGAGGUAGAGACAGGGAAGCAGGGUGUAAUUCUACUCUGACCUUGUCUCCAAGCCCCUGAGCCGAUGACUGAUCCGGGAACUUAAUAAACAAGGAGGUGAACCAGAAAAGCCAAGGAAUCCCAACAGGAACAGUGAAUGAGGGAAAAUGAAAUAAAUACAGGAAGACAGGAAAAGAGAUUCGCACGGUCCCCUACCAGCAGAAUCAACAUCAGCUGCUGUGCUGGUUCAUCCUGUCAACGCCAUCACCAUGGAAACACAUCUUCAGGGAGGUUAGGAGAGAUCCUUUAGACUGACUGAGGUGGAAGACCCACCCUCCAUGUGGGCGGUGCCAUCCCCUAGGCUGGGGUCCUAACUGACUACAAAAGGGGGAAGUCAGCUGAACACCAGCGUCCGUCUCUCUGCUUCCUGCCUAUGGACCGUGCCUCACGCUCCCGUGGUGACCAUGCUUACCCCACCAUGAUGGACUGUGUCCCCUGGUCCUUAACUUGCUUAUGGAAAGUGUUUUGCCACAGCAAUGAAACUAGUAAGCCAAGGGACCUAGCAGAAAUGUGGAUUCCUAGGCCCCACCCAGACCUGCUGAAUCAGAACCUCUGCGAACUGGGCCCCGGAAGUAAAAUUUACUGCCUCGUCACGGUAAUUCUGAUGCUUGCCUGGGUGUCACGACCACACUGCCUUAAGAGAAAGGUGGAUGCACUAGAAGUGACAAGAAGCAAGAGGAAACAAGGCUGUGUGUGUGUGUGUGUGUGUGUGUGAGAGAGAGAGAGAGAGAGAGACAGAGACAGAGACAGAGACAGAGACAGAGACAGAGCGUGUGUGUGCCUUGUAAACCUGUAUAGAGGUCAGGGCUUGAUAAUGGGCUAUCUCCCUCAAUUGCUUUGCCAUCUUACAUUUUUGUUUGUUUGGUCUGGUUUUUCACAACAGGGUUUCUCUGUGUAGCAGCCCUAGCUGUCCUGGAACUUGCUCUGUAGGUCAGACUGGCCUCAAACUCACAAAGAUCCUCCUGUCUUUGUCUCUGAGCGCUGGGAUUAAAGGUGUGUGCUGCCACUGCCUGGCUUGCCAUCCUGCUUUUUGCAAGAGGGUCUCUCAUUGAUCCAGGAGCUCACUUUUUUGACUAGACUAGCAGGCCAGCAAGCCGUGGACUAUUCCUGUCUCUGUCCCUCGGGGCUGGGAUUACGGAUGCACGCACACUGCCGUAUCCCUCUUGAACUUGGGUGCUGGGCAUCCGAGCUCAGCUUUUCAGGCUUGUGUGGUCAAAAACUUUACUCGUUAAACCAUCUCCAAAGUCCC